Rhagoletis zephyria (snowberry fruit fly) is the source of this 890-nucleotide long non-coding RNA. RefSeq lists it as uncharacterized. Lineage: Eukaryota; Metazoa; Arthropoda; Insecta; Diptera; Tephritidae. The record is from RefSeq and is a predicted model, not a curated record.
ACAUAUAUAUUUAUAUUGUUGUUAAUUACAUUUUUCAAUAUUUUAGGAACAGAGACAACAUUCCAAUAUUAUUUUGUGGGAGAUAAUGCAUUCCCACUGAAACAAAACUUGAUGCGUCCAUAUCCUGGCCGGAACUUAUCAGCUAUAAAGGACAACUUCAACAAAAAAUUACCACGUGCUCGUGUGCAUAUUGAAAAUUCAUUUGGAAUUUUGGCUAGCAGGUGGAGAAUUCUACACACGAAUAUUUACGCAGCACCAAAACAAUGUGGAUAAAAUUGUGUUAGCGGCAAUUGUGCUGCAUAACUAUCUAAUGCUCGAUAAGAAGAGUGGAUAUUUCAAUGAAGAACUCGUGGACCACCUCGAAAAUGGUGUUGAGGUGCCAGGCACUUGGAGGGAAUCCCACGCUGGGCUGCCUUCUUGCAGAAUCGCCCAAGCGAAUCGGUCAUGUGCAGAUGCAUUUAGGAGUAGAGACACACUGGCCGAUAUACUAUUUAAUAAUUGAGGUAAGAUUAACUAUUCCCCUUUAUUAAUGUUGCGAUAAUACUCAAUCUAUUUCAUUUAUACAGGACGCCGCAUCCGAUUUGUUGCUAAGCGUGUCUUCAGUGUUGUAACUUUUACCACUGUACUUAUUAAAAUUCAAUUUCAUUUGUUUCUAUUUGAUUUAAAAUUUAAUUUAAUUUCAAAUUCUAUUUAUAACAUAUUCAUACACUUCUUGACAAAUAAAUAUGUAAGUACAGCCCGUGACAAAACGAUAGCACCUCAACAUUUCGAUCAGUUUUCUCUAUUUGUGGUUUGUUUAAUGUUCAUUACUAGACUGCGGAUGUUUAUGCAGAAAACGGAGCCUAAAAAUAUUUACCCCAUAACUAUAAACAAAAUAAUUAAAUUUGUAG